AGGGGUGUAACGCAGUCCGGUAGCGUAUCCCGAUCUAAAAUCGGGAGGGUCCAGGUUGGAAUCCUGGUACCCCGA
Molecule: transfer RNA, 75 nt
Filed under: Saprospiraceae bacterium
Lineage: Bacteria; Pseudomonadati; Bacteroidota; Saprospiria; Saprospirales; Saprospiraceae
Also listed under: 1 other name
Description: tRNA-Leu
Rfam family: tRNA
About the family: Transfer RNA (tRNA) molecules are approximately 80 nucleotides in length.
Source: RNAcentral